This 490-nucleotide ribosomal RNA is filed under the name uncultured bacterium. RNAcentral describes it as "partial 16S ribosomal RNA". It matches the Rfam family "Bacterial small subunit ribosomal RNA", at positions 30 to 507 of the family's 1533-position model. The record is from RNAcentral.
AUUGAACGCUGGCGGCAGGCCUAACACAUGCAAGUCGAACGGUAACAGGAAGAAGCUUGCUUCUUUGCUGACGAGUGGCGGACGGGUGAGUCAUGUCUGGGAAACUGCCUGAUGGAGGGGGAUAACUACUGGAAACGGUAGCUAAUACCGCAUAACGUCUCAAGACCAAAAAGGGGGACCUUCGGGCCUCUUGCCAUCGGAUGUUCCCAGAUGGGAUUACCUAGUAGGUGGGGUAACGGCUCACCUAGUCGACGAUCCCUAGCUGGUCUGAGAGGAUGACCAGCCACACUGGAACUGGGGCAAGGUCCAGACUCCUAAGGGAGGCCACAGGGAGGAAUAUUGCACAAUGGGCGCAAGCCUGAUGCAGCCAUGGCGCGUGUAUGAAGAAGGCCUUCGGGUUGUAAAGUACUUUCAGCGGGGAGGAAGGGAGUAAAGUUAAUACCUUUGCUCAUUGACGUUAACCGCAGAAGAAGCACCGGCUAACUCCGUG